UCGUGUGGUGUGGCUUGCUUUCGGUCGCGUCGCGGUGGGCGCCGCCGGCGGGGGGCCGGGGCGUCGUGUGGGUGGCGACGUUGCGCCGGCCGGCGCUGGCGUGUCGACCGGGCACGGGCCGGGCGGUGAUGAUGCGCGCGGCGACCGCCGCCACUCGGGGCCCAGGACGCGCUAGUGGCUGGACCCUGCACGCGCGCGGAUCGCGC
RNAcentral lists this long non-coding RNA (206 nucleotides) under Setaria italica (foxtail millet). RNAcentral's name for it is "long non-coding RNA (SITA_LNC001358)". The record is from RNAcentral. Lineage: Eukaryota; Viridiplantae; Streptophyta; Magnoliopsida; Poales; Poaceae.